AAAAAUCAAAAAAUCAAAAAAUCAAAAAAUCAAAAAAUCAAAAAAUCAAAAAAUCAAAAAAUCUAAAAAUCUAAAAAUCUAAAAAUCUAAAAAUACAAAAACUGUUUUUGUGCUGUCGCGUCUGGGCCGUCGUAAAUAAGGGAGUACAUUUAUUAUGCUGAAGGGUGGGGGGGGGUGAAGAUGUUAAGGGGGUCAUCGAAAUAUUCUCUGGCAAUCUGGCAUUAAACGGGGGGCUCGAUAUACUGACGGUGGGGGGGGGGGAGCUCUAAACUUUUCAAAGUUUUGGUCCAGCAGGGGUCUGGAGUGUUCACUCCCACAUAGUUAAUGGAAUAGAUGGUUUGAAAACUCCCCCUACUGUGAAAUUCAGACAAAAAUAUGUAAAAUUCAAGUUAAAAUUUUGACAUUUUCAGGUAAAAUUUGCGUAAUAAAGUAAUUAUUUUUGUGAAAUGAUAACCAUUUUUGUAAAAUACAGUCAAUUUGCAUGAAAUUUGUUUGCGAAUUUGCUUUAAAACACGCCAGAAAUUCAGUCGUAGAAUGUAAACAUUUUCUGGGGGAGGACCCCCAGACACCCUUUUUCUCCCGAAACUUAAUAUGAGAGUGCCAAUCAAUCACAAAAAGCUUUAUUAUUAUUAUUACAUGUAUAAUCCCCCAACAUCCCCCCCCCCCCAAACGUCAGAUGCUUUGCUAGGUCCCUGAUGGUUGUAUUCGAAACCGAUUUCAGUUUCAAGAUAUCCUUAGUCUGCUCUUCUAUAAAUGGAUACAUGAAAUCACCUAUAGCUCACUUAAAUUUUUUUGGCACCAAUCUAAAAUUUAUUUUUUUUAAAAAGGGUGCCAUUUAAUCUGGCGCUAGUGAGGUGAAAGAAGCAGUAGGUCGGUAUUUUAGUUGAGGAGAAGUACAUGCUUGAGCAUAUCAGACAUCUUGAGGAGCUGCAAAUUGUAUAUAUGAUGUCUACGAUAAGAGAGAAUUCCGGAUUGUAUUGCUUCGAUUCCGAAUUCUGGAGGGGGGGGGGGGCAUUGAAAAUUUUAGAAACUUGGAGGGGGGCAUCGGAAAUUUACCAAUAAUCUCAACAGGGGCCCUGUUAAGACAUAUCCAUCUCCCACCCCCCCACCCCCUCGGCAUAAUAAAUGUAAUUUCCCUAAACAGUGAUCAUGUAUAUAUAUUGUAGUAUAAAACUUGAUGUAUGUACAAUAAAGUAUUCUAAACCAGAAUGCGGUGCACCACACACGUCGAUUGGACAACUAGUAGCUUAAGAAAAGUUUUCCCGUAAUACCAUAACGCAAUGGCACGUUUUUGACCAAAUUUUUUUAAAAAAACAGAAGGGCACCUUUGAUGUUAGUUUAGUAUUUACAGAGACAUUAGCUUGUACAAAAAGGGCACUUUUCAUCACAAAAAGGGACACUUUUCGUCCUUUGAAACAAUUUGGGAGGGAGGGCACGCGCUCCCUCUGCCCCCCUCUUCCUACGCCCCUGAUUCUAAGACCACUUGAUCCCGAGAUUGAAGGCUUUAUGUAGAUGAACAUUUCGAGUGGAAGAUUCAUAUAUAUAUUUAAUUUAGACCUAUAACCAGCUGCGGAAAAUAGAACUAUAGCAGGAAUCGAACCUACGGACCCGCAAUUCCGUUGCAGUGCUCUAACCAACUGAGUUAUAGAGUUCAGUUGUCGAGCUCCAACCACAAGUUCUUGUUUAUAUACAGUAUAUAGUACAGGUGAUGCCAUUAUAUAAAAUAUGAACAGAUUGAAAGAUUUAUGUAGGAUGGAAAUUUCAAGCACAAAUUUCAAGAAAAAUCCCAAGCGCAAAUUGAGAUUUACAGCGUCAUAUUCCCAAAAAUCUCUAUAUUUAGCCACAGGUUCGAUUCCUGUCAGUUGACAGCAUUUUCGCAGCUGCUCCUGUAGUUAAGUCUGUAGUUAAGUCUAAAAUUGUAUAUAUUGAAUCUUUCGUUAUAAAUUUCCAUCUACUGCAUGCAGGAUCGCCGGGAGAGAGGCAGAGUGGAACUUUAUCUCGGGCGGGGCUCCAAAACAAGGGACCCUUAAAAUUUAUUGAUGCAAGAUUGAUGAACUCAGAAUAUAAAUCCCAGUACCCAGAUGAAUAAUACAUCUAAAAAUCUCAAAAAAUUAAGAAAAUUGUCGGCAAAAAAUAAACGAUUUUAUGUCCGCAAAUUUUUUCCGGCACCAAAUUUCCGGCGCCAAUUUUCCGGCGCCAUAUGUCGUGGAAAUUUUUUGAUCAAGAUUAUACGUAUAGUGUAAUUUACAGCAUGAGUUCCACAUUUGAAUUUUAUUAUACCAGUAAAUUGUUAAACGCGUCCGAAUUUAUCAACAUGAUAAAUGCCAAAUUCGCGGCACCUAACCCUUAACCUUAAUUUUGUGUUACACAGCUUCGAUCAUGUUAUAUAUACCCAUUAUCAGUAACCUUGCCCGCUCAUUCAAGUGCUACAGUAUGUAUAUCUAUACUGAAAAAAAAAUCAAUCCAAAAAUCAAAAAAUCAAAAAAUCUAAAAAUCAAAAAAUCAAAAAAUCUAAAAAUCAAAAAAUCAAAAAAUACAAAAAUCAAAAAAUCAAAAAAUACAAAAAUCAAAAAAUCAAAAAAUACAAAAACUGUUUUUGUGCUGUCGCGUCUGGGCCACCGUACUACUCCCAUAGGAUACAAUCUCUUUAUAUUCAGACACAAUUUGAAACGGAAUACUCUAGAAGGCAGAAACAGCUGGGAAAUUUGUUUUGCAUGUGCCCAGCUUGGCCUGCAUGUAUCUCAUGAAUAUUGUUCGAUACGAAGGGACCUUUAAAUACAUAAACAAACAUGGCAAUUAAUUCUUUAAAACCCGGUUUUGUGCUUCUUUGUCUUUUUAUAGCGACUGUAUUCUCUUUUAGAAAUAAAACAAAAUUUUUUUG
This 2881-nucleotide long non-coding RNA is filed under the name Paramuricea clavata. The record is from RNAcentral. Lineage: Eukaryota; Metazoa; Cnidaria; Anthozoa; Malacalcyonacea; Plexauridae.